Molecule: small RNA, 27 nt
Filed under: Bombyx mori (domestic silkworm)
Lineage: Eukaryota; Metazoa; Arthropoda; Insecta; Lepidoptera; Bombycidae
Description: ovarian small RNA-24417
Source: RNAcentral
UCAAACGUUCCUCGAGCGAAUGCAAUC